RNAcentral lists this ribosomal RNA (466 nucleotides) under uncultured bacterium. RNAcentral describes it as "partial 16S ribosomal RNA". It matches the Rfam family "Bacterial small subunit ribosomal RNA", at positions 28 to 507 of the family's 1533-position model. The record is from RNAcentral.
GAUGAACGCUGGCGGCGUGCUUAACACAUGCAAGUCGAACGAUGAAGCCCAGCUUGCUGGGUGGAUUAGUGGCGAACGGGUGAGUAACACGUGAGUAACCUGCCCUUGACUCUGGGAUAAGCCUGGGAAACUGGGUCUAAUACUGGAUAUGACUUCUCAUCGCAUGGUGGGGGGUGGAAAGAUUUAUUGGUCUUGGAUGGACUCGCGGCCUAUCAGCUUGUUGGUGAGGUAGUGGCUCACCAAGGCGACGACGGGUAGCCGGCCUGAGAGGGUGACCGGCCACUCUGGGACUGAGACACGGCCCAGACUCCUACGGGAGGCAGCAGUGGGGAAUAUUGCACAAUGGGCGCAAGCCUGAUGCAGCGACGCCGCGUGAGGGAUGACGGCCUUCGGGUUGUAAACCUCUUUCAGUAGGGAAGAAGCGAGAGUGACGGUACCUGCAGAAGAAGCGCCGGCUAACUACGUG